Molecule: ribosomal RNA, 256 nt
Filed under: uncultured bacterium
Lineage: Bacteria
Description: partial 16S ribosomal RNA
Rfam family: Bacterial small subunit ribosomal RNA
Source: RNAcentral
GACAGAGGGUGCAAACGUUGUUCGGAAUUACUGGGCGUAAAGCGCGUGUAGGCUGCUUGGAAAGUCGGAUGUGAAAGCCCUGGGCUUAACCUAGGAAGUGCAUUCGAAACUUCUGAGCUGGAGUUCUGGAGAGGAAGGCGGAAUUCUCGGUGUAGAGGUGAAAUUCGUAGAUAUCGAGAGGAACACCGGUGGCGAAGGCGGCCUUCUGGACAGUGACGUGACGCUGAGACGGCGAAAGCGUGGGGAGCAAACAGGG